This 216-nucleotide ribosomal RNA is filed under the name Glomeromycotina sp. Its description in RNAcentral is "partial small subunit ribosomal RNA". The stretch from base 40 to 216 matches the Rfam family "Eukaryotic small subunit ribosomal RNA", at positions 686 to 864 of the family's 1831-position model. Lineage: Eukaryota; Fungi; Glomeromycota. The record is from RNAcentral.
GGGUCAUUAGGUUGGUCGUGCCACCGGUACGUACUGGUCUCACUGAUUCCUCCUUCCUGAAGAACCUUAAUGCUAUUAAUUUGGUGUUGCGGGGAAACAGGACUGUUACUUUGAAAAAAUUAGAGUGUUUAAAGCAAGCUAACGCUUGAAUACAUUAGCAUGGAAUAAUGAAAUAGGACGAUCGAUCCUAUUUUGUUGGUUUCUAGGAUUGACGUA